GUAUAAGCACUUGUACUGUGAAACUGCGAAUGGCUCAUUAAAUCAGUUAUCGUUUAUUUGAUAGUACCUUACUACAUGGAUACCUGUGGUAAUUCUAGAGCUAAUACAUGCUAAAAACCCCGACUUCAGGAAGGGGUGUAUUUAUUAGAUAAAAAACCAACGCCCUUCGGGGCUCCUUGGUGAAUCAUAAUAACUUAACGAAUCGCAUGGCCUUGCGCCGGCGAUGGUUCAUUCAAAUUUCUGCCCUAUCAACUUUCGAUGGUAGGAUAGUGGCCUACCAUGGUGGCAACGGGUAACGGGGAAUUAGGGUUCGAUUCCGGAGAGGGAGCCUGAGAAACGGCUACCACAUCCAAGGAAGGCAGCAGGCGCGCAAAUUACCCAAUCCCGAUACGGGGAGGUAGUGACAAUAAAUACUGAUACGGGGCUCUUUUGGGUCUCGUAAUUGGAAUGAGAACAAUUUAAAUCCCUUAACGAGGAACAAUUGGAGGGCAAGUCUGGGCCAAG
This 504-nucleotide ribosomal RNA is filed under the name Penicillium sp. N25. RNAcentral's name for it is "SSU rRNA". It matches the Rfam family "Eukaryotic small subunit ribosomal RNA", at positions 63 to 570 of the family's 1831-position model. The record is from RNAcentral. Lineage: Eukaryota; Fungi; Ascomycota; Eurotiomycetes; Eurotiales; Aspergillaceae.